This 1203-nucleotide ribosomal RNA is filed under the name Streptococcus infantis. RNAcentral's name for it is "partial 23S ribosomal RNA". It matches the Rfam family "Bacterial large subunit ribosomal RNA", at positions 266 to 1469 of the family's 2925-position model. The record is from RNAcentral. Lineage: Bacteria; Bacillati; Bacillota; Bacilli; Lactobacillales; Streptococcaceae.
AGCCCAAACCAAGAGGCUUGCCUCUUGGGGUUGUAGGACACUCUGUACGGAGUUACAAAGGAACGAGGUAGAUGAAGAGGUCUGGAAAGGCCCGCCAUAGGAGGUAACAGCCCUGUAGUCAAAACUUCGUUCUCUCCUGAGUGGAUCCUGAGUACGGCGGAACACGUGAAAUUCCGUCGGAAUCCGGGAGGACCAUCUCCCAAGGCUAAAUACUCCCUAGUGACCGAUAGUGAACCAGUACCGUGAGGGAAAGGUGAAAAGCACCCCGGAAGGGGAGUGAAAGAGAUCCUGAAACCGUGUGCCUACAAGUAGUCAGAGCCCGUUAACGGGUGAUGGCGUGCCUUUUGUAGAAUGAACCGGCGAGUUACGAUCCCGUGCAAGGUUAAGCAGAAGAUGCGGAGCCGCAGCGAAAGCGAGUCUGAAUAGGGCGCAUGAGUACGUGGUCGUAGACCCGAAACCAGGUGAUCUACCCAUGUCCAGGGUGAAGUUCAGGUAACACUGAAUGGAGGCCCGAACCCACGCACGUUGAAAAGUGCGGGGAUGAGGUGUGGGUAGGGGUGAAAUGCCAAUCGAACCUGGAGAUAGCUGGUUCUCUCCGAAAUAGCUUUAGGGCUAGCCUCAAGGUAAGAGUCUUGGAGGUAGAGCACUGAUUGGACUAGGGGCCCCUACCGGGUUACCGAAUUCAGUCAAACUCCGAAUGCCAAUGACUUAUCCUUGGGAGUCAGACUGCGAGUGAUAAGAUCCGUAGUCGAAAGGGAAACAGCCCAGACCGCCAGCUAAGGUCCCAAAGUAUACGUUAAGUGGAAAAGGAUGUGGAGUUGCUUAGACAACCAGGAUGUUGGCUUAGAAGCAGCCACCAUUUAAAGAGUGCGUAAUAGCUCACUGGUCGAGUGACUCUGCGCCGAAAAUGUACCGGGGCUAAACGUAUCACCGAAGCUGCGGACUGUUCUUCGAACAGUGGUAGGAGAGCGUUCUAAGGGCUGUGAAGCCAGACCGGAAGGACUGGUGGAGCGCUUAGAAGUGAGAAUGCCGGUAUGAGUAGCGAAAGAGGGGUGAGAAUCCCCUCCACCGAAUGCCUAAGGUUUCCUGAGGAAGGCUCGUCCGCUCAGGGUUAGUCGGGACCUAAGCCGAGGCCGAAAGGCGUAGGCGAUGGACAACAGGUUGAUAUUCCUGUACCACCUCCUCACCAUUUGAGCAAUGGGG